GAUAAGACCAGCUCUGCUGCUAAAACACCCCAAACGGCUUCAGCUGCGACCCCGGCUGCAAAACCUGGUGAGAAGAAGCCUGGAGAGGCCCAAAAGGCCGGGGAGACUAAGGCAGGUGUAGAACAGAAGAAGGCAGAAGAUCCAAUGAAAUCAAAGGGUAAAAAGGCACCUGUGGAACAAAAGAAACCCGCAGAUCCUAAGAAGUCUGAAGAGGCCAAAAAGCCAGCAGUUGCCA
Heteronotia binoei (common prickly gecko) is the source of this 235-nucleotide long non-coding RNA. RefSeq lists it as uncharacterized. The record is from RefSeq and is a predicted model, not a curated record. The transcript has 2 exons. Lineage: Eukaryota; Metazoa; Chordata; Lepidosauria; Squamata; Gekkonidae.